RNAcentral lists this ribosomal RNA (484 nucleotides) under uncultured bacterium. RNAcentral's name for it is "partial 16S ribosomal RNA". It matches the Rfam family "Bacterial small subunit ribosomal RNA", at positions 28 to 507 of the family's 1533-position model. The record is from RNAcentral.
AUUGAACGCUGGCGGCAUGCUUUACACAUGCAAGUCGAACGGCAGCGCGGGCGUCGGCUUGGCGGCGCGUGGCGCACGGGGGAGUAAAGCAUCGGAACGUGCUCCGCUGCGGGGGAUAGCACGGCGAAAGCCGGAUUAAUAAUGCCUACGAGCUGCGGGUGUAAGCGGGGGCGGGAGAGGCUUCUUGCUUUUGGGGUGACCGAUGGCGGAUUAGCUAGUUGGUGGGGUAAAGGCCUAGCAAGGCGGCGAUCGGUAGCCGGUCUGAGAGGACGACCAGCCACACUGGGAGUGGGACAGGGCCCAGACGCCUACGGGAGGCAGCAGUGGGGAAUUUUGGACAAUGGGGGCGACCCUGAUCCAGCCAUGGCGCGUGCGGGAAGAAGGCCUUCGGGUUGUAAACCGCUUUUGUUCGGGAAGAAAUCCUCUGGGCUAAUACCCCGGGGGGAUGACGGUACCGGAAGAAUAAGCACCGGCUAACUACGUG